This is a long non-coding RNA of Physeter macrocephalus (sperm whale), 2434 nucleotides long. RefSeq lists it as uncharacterized. NCBI's taxonomy places the organism in Eukaryota, Metazoa, Chordata, Mammalia, Artiodactyla, Physeteridae. The transcript is spliced from 3 exons. The record is from RefSeq and is a predicted model, not a curated record.
AAAGUAACAUAUAAUAAAAGUCACCUUUCUUUAUUUAAAAAAAUUUAUUUUAUUUAUUUAUUUGUGGCUGCGUUGGGUUUUCGUUGCUGUGCGUGGGCUUUCUCUAGUUGCGGUGAGCGGGGGCUACUCUUCACUGUGGUGCGCAGGCUUCUCAUGGCAGUGGCUUCUCUUUGUUGUAGAGCACGGGCUCUAGGCACACGGGCUUCAGUAGUUGCGGCACGCGGGCUCAGUAGUUGUGGCUCAUGGGCUCUAGAGAGCAGGCUCAGUAGUUGUGGUGCACGGGCUUAGUUGCUCCGCGGCAUGUGGGAUCUUCCCGGACCAGGGCUCGAACCUGUGUUCCCUGCAUUGGCAAGUGGAUUCUUAACCACUGUGCCACCAGGGAAGUCCAAAAGUCACUUUUCUUAGUGGAACAAAACCGGAACUUCCAAGGUGAAAAGUGGAAAGAGAAUCUCCUUGAUGGAGUCAGAGACUCUGUUCCUGAGAAGCACUUUUGCAUCAAAGUCUCAUUAAGUCUUGCUGCUGCCACUGUGCCCUCCAUACGGACUGCUCUCCCCAGCUGUGGCCUAAAGUCCCCCUAUGAUACUCUGAGGCACAGCUGACACAAAGCUGAUGGUUCAAAAAACUUUACCAAAGGUCGAUGGAUUACAAAAGAGAAAUAAAAAGAUACACCAUAAUUUGAGUACUCCUAAUCAGAUAGAGCUUAUCUCUGGAGUUCAUAGGCCCCAUCCUUCCUUACAUGGAAUUCUGCAGAAAUGGAAAGGCCUCUCCUGGGUCCUGUCUACUGAUUUCUAGCCUACCCCCAAUGAGGGCAGAAAUUAGCUUAAUAUACACCAUUUGGGAGUGCCCCGGCACCUAACCCAAUGGAGAGCACCUGAGUUCCCCAUCCUGCCACAGAUCUGGAUUCUUAUGUGAUGGCAUGCAUUUCCCUUCGGGAUUGACUCUGGGGGUGAUCAUGCCAGGGCAGUCCUACCUUAACCUAGUAAUGCAGGAGCCACCAAAUACACAGGACAAAAGGUAAAAAAAGUUCACGGUAACAAGGCGGGGGUCAUUUGCAAAUUGCAGUUAGUCUAGAAACUGAGUAUGAAAGAUACCAGGAGCUUUGGUUUAUACACAAAAUAAUUCUCAGGACAUAGGUUACAGGACAUAGGUUAAAUAAGAAGAAAUGGCAGUAUUCUGAUUUAAGAAGUAGUCUUCUAAUUUUUACUUGUGCAUUCAACUGAGUUUAAUUAAAUCUUUGUGUUAUUUUUCAUCGGUCUUUCUUGGAUUUCAGAUAGAGUAACCACCACCAUCCUGGUUUACCUAGGACUGAGAGGUUCCUAAACUCAGGACUUUCUGUGCUAAAAGCAACAGUGCUGGUCGAACCAGAACAGCUGUCACUCUGAUUACAGCCCUGACUGAGAACCUACUUAAACUAUGAACUCUCUUCCAAGGAAGAGGCACAUAUACUUGAUAUGUUGUGUAAAGUUUCAUGAACUACCUGAAACCCACUUGUGAGCCCCCAGAUGUUCAUGGAGCGUGGGUUAAGAAAUCCAGACUUAUAUAAAUACAUUUUGGAUUUUUAUGUAAACUUAUUUAACUCUGUAUUUCCUGAAGUAAAAUCAUACUUUAUUCAAAGGGUCAAAUCCAAUUACCUUUUUGAGAUUUUAUAUUAUUUUAUUUUAUUUAUUUAUUUAUUUUGGGCCACAUGGCAUGUGGGAUCUUUGUUCCCCAGCCAGGGAUUGAACCCUUGCCCACUACAGUGGAAGUGCAGAGUCCUAACCACUGGACCACCGGGGAACCCCUAGAUUUUAUAUAAUUUUAAAUCAAGAUUUACUUUGGUAUUUUUCCUUUUCAGUCAUAUCUAGAGACCGUGUUGGAAAAUAUCAAGAAGAGAGGAAGAACAGAAAGAUUUACUUGAUGUUGAGAAGUGACUGGAAGGAUUCAGAAAUUUGAGAGAAGAAUUUGAAAAAUAUGACCCAGAAAAAAUAGGCCACUCCACGGGGCAGCUCACAGCACAGCAGCUGGCCUCCCUCAGAGCAAGCAAGCAAGACAGAGAAAGUACCCAAGAAGGAAGCCUCAGUCUUCUUAUAACCUCAUUUUGGAAGAAAUGUCCCAUGAUGUUGCCAUAUUCUGUUUGUUACAGCAAGUCACUGUGUCCAGCCGACGUUCAAGGUUGGAAAGAAAGAUUUCAGUCCGGAAAAAGUUUGACUUACAUCUGCAGGAGGAAUACUCUGACAAUUUCCUGUAGAGAUACAACCUUGUAAAUAGUCCCAAUGGCAUUAACUAUUUGGAUCGUCUGAGAAAGGUGCAGGAUCACAAUGAGGAAGGAAGAGAUCACACACAGAAUCCCCCCCAAGCCCAUCCACAUGCUCCAUGUUGUUAUUUCCUUUCUUCUAAUCCACUAAGUCCUACCAGACUGGUGAUAAACUUUCAAGGAGACUCAGCUCCGUAGGUU